GAGGAAAAGAAACUAACAAGGAUUCCCCUAGUAACGGCGAGUGAAGCGGGAAGAGCUCAAAUUUGAAAUCUGGCACUUUCAGUGUCCGAGUUGUAAUCUCGAGAAGUGUUUUCCGCGCUGGACCGCAUAUAAGUCUGUUGGAAUACAGCGUCAUAGUGGUGAGAACCCCGUAAUUGAUGCGGACGCCCAGUGCUUUGUGAUACACUUUCGAAGAGUCGAGUUGUUUGGGAAUGCAGCUCAAAUUGGGUGGUAAAUUCCAUCUAAAGCUAAAUAUUGGCGAGAGACCGAUAGCGAACAAGUACCGUGAGGGAAAGAUGAAAAGCACUUUGGAAAGAGAGUUAACAGUACGUGAAAUUGUUGGAAGGGAAACGCUUGAAGUCAGACUUGCUGUUUGGAAUUCAGCCGCAAGGUGUACUUUUCAGAUAUGCAGGCCAGCAUCAGUUUUUGGGGGUGAAAAAGGGUAUUGAGAAGGUAGCAGUUUCGGCUGUGUUAUAGCUCUUUGCUGGAUUCAUCCUUGGGGACUGAGGAACGCAGCUCACUUUUUGCACGAUCUUCGGAUUGUUCUGAGCUUAGGAUGCUGGUGGAAUGGCUUUAAACGA
RNAcentral lists this ribosomal RNA (599 nucleotides) under Slooffia micra. Its description in RNAcentral is "partial large subunit ribosomal RNA". It matches the Rfam family "Eukaryotic large subunit ribosomal RNA", at positions 53 to 647 of the family's 3401-position model. Lineage: Eukaryota; Fungi; Basidiomycota; Microbotryomycetes; Chrysozymaceae. The record is from RNAcentral.